Molecule: long non-coding RNA, 516 nt
Organism: Haliotis rufescens (red abalone)
Lineage: Eukaryota; Metazoa; Mollusca; Gastropoda; Lepetellida; Haliotidae
Exons: 3
Source: RefSeq, a predicted model, not a curated record
CACCGCAAACAUGUGACCGUGCUACACAGUAUGAGGCACCAAGUGAGGCUGGCAGCAAGCAUGAUACACCUUACACAAGUGAUGAUGACAGUGACAGUGAUGAAGACUACCACCCUCUUUCAAGCAAAGUCAAGUUCGAAGAAUUUCAGUCCCAGCAAAAGUCCCUCAAUGAUCAUCUUGAAGAAACAAAGUUCCUGGUGUUCAAAUCCAAUUUGUUGUCAUUGUUCUUGUUUUGCAAGUUAUGCUUUUGUUCAUGCAGAGCCACUAUUUAUAAAGUCUGUGGUAGUCUUGUGACUGUUCAGAUACAGUGCCUUAGACACAAAGAGCAUCUGUAUUUCUGGAGUAGUCAGCCAGUCCACAAACAACUGCCACUUGGCAAUUUGGCCAUAGCUUGUGCUAUUUUCUUUAGUAGCCUUUCCCCAGUAAAGGCUCUGAGGAGCUAUUCAAUACUGAACAUGUACAGCAUAAGCAGAUCAACGUUUCAUAAGAUCCAGAGAAGCUAUAUUGUUCCAGCCA